Molecule: ribosomal RNA, 1286 nt
Filed under: Acinetobacter baumannii
Lineage: Bacteria; Pseudomonadati; Pseudomonadota; Gammaproteobacteria; Moraxellales; Moraxellaceae
Description: partial 23S ribosomal RNA
Rfam family: Bacterial large subunit ribosomal RNA
Source: RNAcentral
CAGGUGGUCAGGUCGAGUAGACCAAGGCGCUUGAGAGAACUCUGCUGAAGGAACUAGGCAAAAUGGUACCGUAACUUCGGGAGAAGGUACGCUGUUGUUGGUGAUGGAACUCGCUUCCUGAGCUGACGACAGCCGCAGAAACCAGGCCGCUGCAACUGUUUAUUAAAAACAUAGCACUCUGCAAACACGAAAGUGGACGUAUAGGGUGUGAUGCCUGCCCGGUGCUGGAAGGUUAAUUGAUGGGGUUAGCGUAAGCGAAGCUCUUGAUCGAAGCCCCAGUAAACGGCGGCCGUAACUAUAACGGUCCUAAGGUAGCGAAAUUCCUUGUCGGGUAAGUUCCGACCUGCACGAAUGGCAUAAUGAUGGCGGCGCUGUCUCCAGCAGAGGCUCAGUGAAAUCGAAAUCGCUGUGAAGAUGCAGUGUACCCGCGGCUAGACGGAAAGACCCCGUGAACCUUUACUGCAGCUUGACACUGAACUUUGACCUUACUUGUGUAGGAUAGGUGGGAGGCUUUGAAGCUGGAACGCUAGUUCCAGUGGAGCCGUCCUUGAAAUACCACCCUGGUAAUGUUGAGGUUCUAACUCUGUCCCGUGAUCCGGGACGAGGACCGUGUCUGGUGGGUAGUUUGACUGGGGCGGUCUCCUCCUAAAGAGUAACGGAGGAGUACGAAGGUGCGCUCAGCGUGGUCGGAAAUCACGCGUAGAGUAUAAAGGCAAAAGCGCGCUUAACUGCGAGACCCACAAGUCGAGCAGGUACGAAAGUAGGUCUUAGUGAUCCGGUGGUUCUGUAUGGAAGGGCCAUCGCUCAACGGAUAAAAGGUACUCUGGGGAUAACAGGCUGAUACCGCCCAAGAGUUCAUAUCGACGGCGGUGUUUGGCACCUCGAUGUCGGCUCAUCUCAUCCUGGGGCUGAAGCAGGUCCCAAGGGUAUGGCUGUUCGCCAUUUAAAGAGGUACGCGAGCUGGGUUUAGAACGUCGUGAGACAGUUCGGUCCCUAUCUACCGUGGGCGCUGGAAAUUUGAGAGGAUCUGCUCCUAGUACGAGAGGACCAGAGUGGACGAACCUCUGGUGUACCGGUUGUGACGCCAGUCGCAUCGCCGGGUAGCUAUGUUCGGAAGGGAUAACCGCUGAAAGCAUCUAAGCGGGAAGCCUACCUCAAGAUAAGAUUUCCCUAGGACUUUAUGUCCUCUAAAGAGCCGUUCGAGACUAGGACGUUGAUAGGUUGGAUGUGGAAGCAUAGUGAUAUGUGAAGCUGACCAAUACUAAUUGCUCGUGAGGCUUGACUAU